This 782-nucleotide unclassified non-coding RNA is filed under the name Hevea brasiliensis (rubber tree). Lineage: Eukaryota; Viridiplantae; Streptophyta; Magnoliopsida; Malpighiales; Euphorbiaceae. The record is from RNAcentral.
UGAUGCUCUUAUUCAGAAAACCAUACGCGAAGAAUUUAAGUCAUGCACCAUGCUCAUUAUUGCUCACCGUUUGAACACUAUCAUAGACUGUGACAGAAUUCUUCUGCUUGAUUCUGGUCAGGUACUUGAAUAUGAUACUCCGGAAGUAUUAUUAGAAAAGGAGGAAAGUGCUUUUUCUAGGAUGGUUCAGAGUACAGGAGCUGCAAAUGCUGAAUACUUACGAAGCUUAGUCAUAGGAGGGGGAGAGGGAAACAGUGUAGUGAAGGAUAAACAGCUAGAUGGGAAAAGGAGGUGGCUUGCCUCUUCACGUUGGAGUGCUGCAGCACAGUAUGCAAUAUCUUUUACACUUUCUUCAUCCCAAAAUGACCUAGUGAAUUCAGAAAUUGUGGACGAGGAUAAUAUCCUGAAGAAAACAAAGAAUGCUGUAAUCACUCUGCAGGGAGUAUUAGAGGGUAAGCAUGACAAAGAAAUCGAAGAGACCCUGGAGCAGUACCAGGUUUCCAGAGACAGAUGGUGGUCUUCAUUUUACAGGAUGGUUGAAGGUCUCUCGGUGAUGAGUAAGCUGACUCGCAAGAGAUUUCAUCCAGAAUAUCGUGCAGAAGAUCCUAACAUUGAAGAAAGAACAAUUCACUGGGAUCGCGCUGAGAUGUAGAAGCCUUUCAGUCUGUACCGGAUUAUGGAAUGGUAGUUCUUUUACUUGUUGACAUGAUACAUGGAUAAUUACUGUGCCCUUUUAACACAGUUGUAACAUUGUUAUAUUAUCCCAUAAAAUUUUAUAGCUA